Long non-coding RNA from Notothenia coriiceps (black rockcod), 826 nucleotides. RefSeq lists it as uncharacterized. The transcript is spliced from 2 exons. The record is from RefSeq and is a predicted model, not a curated record. Lineage: Eukaryota; Metazoa; Chordata; Actinopteri; Perciformes; Nototheniidae.
CCACCGGUCUUUAGUGUGACAUUCAGGAAAUGCUAAUACUUAAUGGUGAGGUCAUUGAUACCUCAGUGCUUGAUACACGGCAGAGAGGAGGCACAUAGCAGCAGUAGGGAUUCAACUGCCGUUGGAUGAGGAGUUUAUCGGCGUAUGAAGAAGGAAACGAUAUAAUUUUUUUACCGACAUUAUUCAGCGGGUCUCUCUGAUGCUUCGCUGUUUGUUGCUGUUUAUUCAUCCUACCAAAAGAGAAGGAAAAAUAAAACACUACAUUUUAAAUCAGCCGAACUUCUGACAGCCUUUACAACAGGAGCCAUGGUGGCAGCAGUCCUUAAAUUGUAUUUUAUUGGAACGGCUCUGAGUGUCCUUGCUGUCUUUUAUGUCAUCGUGGACUCCUUUGGUGGUCUGAUGUACGUCCAGGACGAUCACUACACAACAGACCAGCAGACACAGAGACAGAUCUCUUCGGAUCAGCAGACACAGAGACAGAUCUCCUCAGGCCACAACAGGAAACGAUCACCUGUCACCAAAAACAUUGACUAAUAAGGAGAACCUUGAGGUCACAAUGAAGUUUUGUGGCAAUGAUUGUCCAAUCGCUGUGGAUUAUAAAUAUCCUGCUUCCAUUCCUAAGUAUGGACAUUAUGAUAAUGUCUAACCUACAGGACGUGUACUGGAUUAGACACUUGUCUUUGUUAGAGCAGCUCUACAACCAAUGAUACAUGUAACGGUACUACUGAACAAUGAUUUGCACUAAAAAUUAGAGUUUGUAUAUUUAUUAUGUGAAAUUUAAGAGUUGUUUUUUUUUUCAAAUAAAGUCAUUUUUAAAUGUUUGAAA